AUUGAGCAAGAGGUGGGGACAGUGAGUGAUGAGUUGUUGAGUUGAAUCCCAAUUUAGCAGUGAGCUUUUUGCCUUACUAAUACCUGCUUGCUGCAGGCAGCCUCUGGUUUCUUUGCCCACCGUCUUGACUAGAAUGGGAGUGUCAGAGGGAUUCUGGCACCAUGAAUACUGGCUGUCACCUGGAGCUCUCUGGGAAUACCUGAAGGAGUCUGCAGACAUACAAUAACCACAGCCUCAGCACCUCCUGCUCUGCUUCCCUGGUACCCCUGUUAUUGAUCUUAGUCCGAUGCAUCUUUGAAAGGCGGAGUCCAAACAAUCCAAGUCCAGGUGUGGACGAUCUUGCUGAUGAUGUUACUGGAACUGUGGCAUCCAGAUGUAUCAGCCGAGGUUUCCAGAGAUCCCAAUCUCGAGUCCUUACCAGGAUCAGCUUCCAGGUGUCCGGUUCCUGGAACAGCCCAUCUCUGGGACUCUGGAGUUUGGGUCCGCAGGCUGCAAUGCUGGAAGACAGACAGCCACCUUCUCCCUCUGUGGAACAUCAGCCUUGUGCAGGAUGUCACCUCACCCCCACUUGAUACUUACCUCUUCCGAGCCACGUCUCAUAAGCUCUCAGAGAAAAGUAUCACACCUGAGAUAGCUCAGCUACGUCAGGUGGCAUAAACGUAGCAGGAUGGCUUCUGAGACAAGUGCUGGAAACAGAAAAGUUUUAAUAAAAGGCAAAAUAACAAAGCUCUUUGCA
This 736-nucleotide long non-coding RNA is filed under the name Chloebia gouldiae (Gouldian finch). RNAcentral's name for it is "Erythrura gouldiae (Gouldian finch) lncRNA (ENSEGOG00005013701.1)". Lineage: Eukaryota; Metazoa; Chordata; Aves; Passeriformes; Passeridae. The record is from RNAcentral.